UACGUAGGUGGCAAGCGUUGUUCGGAAUUAUUGGGCGUAAAGGGCGCGUAGGCGGUUUGUUAAGUCAGGUGUGAAAGCCCUGGGCUUAACCUAGGAAUUGCGCUUGAGACUGGAUAGCUUGGAGUGUGGCAGAGGGAGGUGGAAUUCCACGUGUAGCAGUGAAAUGCGUAGAGAUGUGGAGGAACACCGAUGGCGAAGGCAGCCUCCUGGGCCAGCACUGACGCUCAU
This 228-nucleotide ribosomal RNA is filed under the name uncultured prokaryote. Its description in RNAcentral is "partial 16S ribosomal RNA". It matches the Rfam family "Bacterial small subunit ribosomal RNA", at positions 524 to 750 of the family's 1533-position model. The record is from RNAcentral.